Molecule: ribosomal RNA, 293 nt
Filed under: uncultured eukaryote
Lineage: Eukaryota
Description: partial 18S ribosomal RNA
Rfam family: Eukaryotic small subunit ribosomal RNA
Source: RNAcentral
GGUUGAUCCUGCCAGUAGCAUAUGCUUGUCUCAAAGACUAAGCCAUGCAUGUCCAAGUAUAAACACCUUUAUACAGCGAAACUGCGUACAGCUCAUUACAUCAGUUAUUAUUCCUUUGAUGGUACAUCUCUACAUGGAUACCCGUAGUAAUUCUAGAGCUAAUACAUGCGCAAAGCCCCGACUUUUUGGAAGGGGUGUGUUUAUUAGAUUCAGACCCGCACCCGCAAGGGUUCGUUGGUGAUUCAUAGUAACCUAUUCGAAUCGCUUGUUCGCAAGCGAUGGUUCAUUCAAAU